RNAcentral lists this microRNA precursor (194 nucleotides) under Dichanthelium oligosanthes. RNAcentral describes it as "MIR1435 microRNA precursor family". It matches the Rfam family "MIR1435 microRNA precursor family". Lineage: Eukaryota; Viridiplantae; Streptophyta; Magnoliopsida; Poales; Poaceae. The record is from Rfam by way of RNAcentral.
UUGGUUUGUCUUAAGUCAAAUUUGUCUAACUUUGAUCAAGUUUAUAAAAAAUAUAACAAUAUCUAUACUAUCAAAUAUAUGCACUAUCAAAAUAUAUUCCACGGUAGAUUUAAUGAAACAAAUUUAGCAUCAUAGAUGUUAUUUUUUUAUAAAUUUGGUCAAAGUUGAACAAGUUUGACUUAGAACUAACUAAA